RNAcentral lists this ribosomal RNA (502 nucleotides) under uncultured Glomus. RNAcentral's name for it is "SSU rRNA". It matches the Rfam family "Eukaryotic small subunit ribosomal RNA", at positions 569 to 1078 of the family's 1831-position model. Lineage: Eukaryota; Fungi; Glomeromycota; Glomeromycetes; Glomerales; Glomeraceae. The record is from RNAcentral.
AGCAGCCGCGGUAAUUCCAGCUCCAAUAGCGUAUAUUAAAGUUGUUGCAGUUAAAAAGCUCGUAGUUGAAUUUCGAGAUCAAUUUAUUGGUCGUGCAAUAGUACGUACUGGUAUUAUUGGUUCCUACCUUCUGAUGAACCAUGAUGUCAUUAAUUUGGUGUUAUGGGGAAUCAGGACUGUUACUUUGAAAAAUUAGAGUGUUUAAAGCAGGCUCACGCUUGAAUACAUUAGCAUGGAAUAAUGAAAUAGGACGUUUGAUCCUAUUUUGUUGGUUUCUAGGAUCGACGUAAUGAUUAAUAGGGAUAGUUGGGGGCAUUAGUAUUCAAUUGUCAGAGGUGAAAUUCUUGGAUUUAUUGAAGACUAACUACUGCGAAAGCAUUUGCCAAGGAUGUUUUCAUUAAUCAAGAACGAAAGUAGGGGAUCGAAGACGAUCAGAUACCGUCGUAGUCUUAACCAUAAACUAUGCCGACUAGGGAUCGGAUGAUGUUUAAUUUUUAANGUA